GAGGGCUGUUCCCACUUGUGCCUGCUAAACUGGUAUCAGUAUGUUGAUUUAGUGCUGGCUCAGUUCAGCAGGAACAGGUGUGAAGUCCUC
This 90-nucleotide microRNA precursor is filed under the name Danio rerio (zebrafish). RNAcentral describes it as "microRNA dre-mir-24 precursor (dre-mir-24-4)". Its record names the gene dre-mir-24-4. The stretch from base 11 to 80 matches the Rfam family "mir-24 microRNA precursor family". Rfam says of the family: This family represents the microRNA (miRNA) mir-24 family. miRNAs are transcribed as ~70nt precursors (modelled here) and subsequently processed by the Dicer enzyme to give a ~22nt product. In this case the mature sequence comes from the 3' arm of the precursor. Lineage: Eukaryota; Metazoa; Chordata; Actinopteri; Cypriniformes; Danionidae. The record is from miRBase by way of RNAcentral.